GAGUGGUGAUCAAGAUGGAGAAGCAGGGCACGUGCAUUACUAACUCAUGCACAGGAAUUGUCAGUGAAAAUUUUUAUGGCAUUCAUCUGACAUCAUAAUUCAUAGUACCAUUACUGUACUUCCUAGCGUAGUGGAAAAUAAUGGUUUGGUACUUCACAUGUAUGUGUUUCCGUUUCCGUUGAGUUAGUUCUUCAUGUGCCUGUCUUCCCCAUCAUGAUCACUCAACCUUAUUAUCAGUAUACGUCCCUUUUUCAAGUUCUGAUUUCGCCUCAUCUAAUAAUAAAAGUGCUCCGUAAGAGAACUCUAUUUCGAAAUCAAUUCGCAUUUUAUAGUUGUUUUACUUGAAUAUAUUCGUUAAUAUGCCUUCUGCUUGUAGACGGAUAGAUUUGGGUUCAUUUCUUGCCGCUCAUCUUCCGCGCGCACCAUGGCCCAAAAACCGCUUUCCAUUGAAAGGUAAGUUAAUUUAUUG
Molecule: long non-coding RNA, 469 nt
Filed under: Nicotiana tabacum (common tobacco)
Lineage: Eukaryota; Viridiplantae; Streptophyta; Magnoliopsida; Solanales; Solanaceae
Description: long non-coding RNA (NTAB_LNC013525)
Rfam family: MIR164 microRNA precursor family (bases 6-221)
Source: RNAcentral